UACAGAGGGUGCAAACGUUGUUCGGAAUUACUGGGCGUAAAGGGCUCGUAGGCGGCCAACUAAGUCGGACGUGAAAUCCCUCGGCUUAACCGAGGAACUGCGUCCGAUACUGGAUGGCUUGAGUUCGGGAGAGGGAUGCGGAAUUCCAGGUGUAGCGGUGAAAUGCGUAGAUAUCGGGAGGAACACCAGUGGCGAAGGCGACUACCUGGCCUGUUCUUGACGCUGAGGCGCGAAAGCUAGGGGAGCAAACGGG
This 253-nucleotide ribosomal RNA is filed under the name uncultured bacterium. Its description in RNAcentral is "partial 16S ribosomal RNA". It matches the Rfam family "Bacterial small subunit ribosomal RNA", at positions 524 to 776 of the family's 1533-position model. The record is from RNAcentral.